GUGGCUCUACUAAUUUUGAUUGUACAUAGAUACCAGGGCAUGGAAGAGCAUUUGACUCAGGCUUGCCUAGUCACGAUACAUCACCUCUGCAGUGACUGACUGGUUCAAUGUGUGGGGCUGGGAUCCCAAAAGGGCCAGUUGGAGUACUUCUCGGUGAGGCAAGCAGUUGUGAGCAUAAAACUGUCACUCUGCAGCAGCUGCUGAGCUCAGAUAAUGAAUGCUAUGCCAUCCUGCCUGUCUGCGCAGGGGAAGCAAUUCAGAAACGGAACAACUGAGGGUGAUACCCAAAGAGGAAAGGUCUAAGAGCAAUGUUGUGGAUUUGGAAUCCCCUCGCUGAUGUACCUCUGGAUUUAUCUGAGAAGGAAACACUUAUUCUGAAUGUAGGUGACAUCAUCCCAUGCUCUGGAUCCCUGGAGUGAAUACAGAAGAAAUCAAGUAGAGUAUUAGCAUUUGUCUACCUUCAGAUGCAGCGCGUCCAGCUAUAUCGGGCUCCCACGGCUACACCUAGAGCUGCUCUCAUUGCCUUGUGUCCUCUGUCCUCCUUCAGACUGCGGGCCAGUGCAAACCUUUCCUUCCUUAAGUACUGUUGCCAGGUGUCUCAUGGAAGAAACAAGAGAAGUGACUGACAUAGAUACUUAUACAUAGUUUCCACUUGGGUUUGUGAAGGCUAACUACCCUUUCCUGUCUUGGCUGGAACCAUGCAGCCUGAAGGACAGGAGGUGGCCCCUGGGACAUAUACUCACUCUGAGCUAUGGCUUGUAACCAUUGACAGCAAGAGUGUGAUAGAAUCUUCCUUACUUCUCCUCAUGCCUUGAAAAGGAAGUGAAAGUUGAACUACUUUUUCUAGUUUAACAUAAACUCUCUUUGAAUUCA
This is a long non-coding RNA of Mus musculus (house mouse), 873 nucleotides long. RefSeq annotates it as predicted gene, 51991. The transcript is spliced from 2 exons. NCBI's taxonomy places the organism in Eukaryota, Metazoa, Chordata, Mammalia, Rodentia, Muridae. The record is from RefSeq and is a predicted model, not a curated record.